UUCUGGUUGAUCCUGCCGGAGAUCACAGCUAUCUGAAUUCGACUAAGGCAUGCUAGUCUUGGGUUAAACUAAGGCGUACAGCUCAGUAACACGUAGUUAACCUGCCCUUGAACCAGAGAUAAUCUCGCUAACGUGAGGCCGAUGCUCUGUUACAUGACUUUUCCUGGAAACGGUCUGUCAUGGAAUCAAGGAUGGGACUGCGGCCUAUUAGCUUGUUGUCGGAGUAACGUCCUGGCAAGGCUAUAAUGGGUACGGGCCUUGAGAGAGGAAGCCCGGAGAUGGAAUCUGAGACAAGAUUCCAGGUCCUACGGGAUGCAGCAGCUGCGAAACUUUCGCAAUUCACGCAAGUGUGACGAAGGAAUUCAGAGUGCUUUCACUUCGGUGGAAGCUUUUGUUAAGCCCAAAUCACUUAACGAAUAAGUGGUGGGUAAGACGGGUGCCAGCCGCCGCGGUAAUACCCGCGCCACGAGUGGUGAUCGUUAUUAUUGGGUUUAGAGCGUUCGUAGCCGGGUUCGGUAAGUUCUUAAUGAAAUCCUAUAGUCAACUAUAGGGCUUGUUAGGGACACUACCGGACUUGAGACCGGGAGAGGCUAAGGGUAUUAUAUGAGUAGGGGUAAAAUCCUGUAAUUCAUAUAAGACCACCUGUGGCGAAGGCGCUUAGCUAGGACGGAUCUGACGGUGAGGGACGAAAGCUAGGGGAGCGAAGGGGAUUAGAUACCCCCGUAGUCCUAGCUGUAAACGAUGCCCGUUAGACAUUGGGUAUCUCACGGGGAUACCCAGAGUCGUAGGUAAACCGUUAAACGGGCCACCUGGGGAGUACGGUCGCAAGGCUGAAACUUAAGGGAAUUGGCGGGGGAGCACACAAGGGGUGGAGGCUGCGGUUUAAUUCGACUCAACGCGAGAAACCUUACCAGCGGCGACAGCAGAGUGAAGGUCAGGCUAAUGGUCUUACCAGACAAGCUGAGCGGUGGUGCAUGGCCGUCGUCAGUUCGUGCCGUGAGGUGUCGUCUUAAGUGACGUAACGAACAAGACCCGAGCCAUAUGUUGCAACUGUCCUAGUGGCAGGCACUCAUAUGGGACUGCUUGCGACGAGUGAGAGGAAGGAUCGGUCGACGGCAGGUCAGUAUGCUCCUAAUCCGCUGGGUUACACGCGGCCUACAAUGACCGGGACAAUGGGAUGCGACUCCGAAAGGAGGAGCUAAUCUCGAAACCCGGCCUCAGUUCAGAUCGAGGGCUGCAACUCGCCCUCGUGAAGCCGAAAUCCCUAGUAGUCGCUGGUCACUAUCUAGCGGCGAAUAUGUUCCUGCUCCUUGCACACACCGCCCGUCGCUCCAUCCGAGUGUGCUAAAAAUGAGGUUUGGUCAAAUUGGUCAUAUCGAGUUUCUAGUAUGCGAGGAGGGAGAAGUCGUAACAAGGUAGCC
This 1421-nucleotide ribosomal RNA is filed under the name uncultured archaeon. RNAcentral's name for it is "16S ribosomal RNA". It matches the Rfam family "Archaeal small subunit ribosomal RNA". The record is from RNAcentral.